AAAACAUCUUUUCUUGUUAGUUUUUGAAGUAUGGCCUGCCCACUGACUUGUUGUUAAAGGGCCGCGGUAUUUUGACCGUGCAAAGGUAGCAUAAUCAUUAGUUCUUUAAUUGUGAUCUGGUAUGAAUGGUUUGACGAGACAUAAGCUGUCUUAGGAGUAUUGUUUAUUGAAUUUGGUUUUUGAGUUAAAAUUCUUAAAUGUUUUUAUGGGACGAGAAGACCCUAUAGAGUUUAACAUUUUUCUUAUUGUUAUUUGUUUGUUUAUUUUAAUUGAGUUGGAAAAAGUGUUUUGUUGGGGUGAUGGGAGGAAUAAAAUUUAACUCCUCUUUAUUUUUAUAUAUUUAUGUAUAUUUCUUUUGAUCCAUUUAUUUUGAUUAUAAGAUUAAAUUACCUUAGGGAUAACAGCGUUAUCUUCCUUGAGAGUUCUUAUUGGCGGGGAGGUUUGCGACCUCGAUGUUGGAUUAAGGUGAAUUUUCGGUGCAGAAGCUGGAAAGUGAUUAGGUCUGUUCGACCUUUAAAAUCUUACGUGAUCUGAGU
RNAcentral lists this ribosomal RNA (536 nucleotides) under Nasutitermes sp. ENT-MG196. RNAcentral's name for it is "partial small subunit ribosomal RNA". It matches the Rfam family "Bacterial large subunit ribosomal RNA", at positions 1810 to 2610 of the family's 2925-position model. The record is from RNAcentral. Lineage: Eukaryota; Metazoa; Arthropoda; Insecta; Blattodea; Termitidae.